Molecule: ribosomal RNA, 433 nt
Filed under: uncultured bacterium
Lineage: Bacteria
Description: partial 16S ribosomal RNA
Rfam family: Bacterial small subunit ribosomal RNA
Source: RNAcentral
AGCGAACGCUGGCGGCAGGCUUAACACAUGCAAGUCGAACGGGCACUUCGGUGCUAGUGGCAGACGGGUGAGUAACACGUGGGAACGUACCUUUCGGUUCGGAAUAAUCCAGGGAAACUUGGACUAAUACCGGAUACGCCCUUCGGGGGAAAGAUUCAUCGCCGAUAGAUCGGCCCGCGUCUGAUUAGCUAGUUGGUGAGGUAAUGGCUCACCAAGGCGACGAUCAGUAGCUGGUCUGAGAGGAUGAUCAGCCACAUUGGGACUGAGACACGGCCCAAACUCCUACGGGAGGCAGCAGUGGGGAAUAUUGGAGAAUGGGCGCAAGCCUGAUCCAGCCAUGCCGCGUGAGUGAUGAAGGCCUUAGGGUUGUAAAGCUCUUUUGUCCGGGAAGAUAAUGACUGUACCGGAAGAAUAAGCCCCGGCUAACUUCGUG